Molecule: non-coding RNA, 27 nt
Filed under: Rattus norvegicus (Norway rat)
Lineage: Eukaryota; Metazoa; Chordata; Mammalia; Rodentia; Muridae
Source: RNAcentral
UGAGAAUCUCCCAUUCUUUUUGAUUAG